RNAcentral lists this ribosomal RNA (437 nucleotides) under Wolbachia endosymbiont of Phloeomyzus passerinii. RNAcentral's name for it is "bacterial SSU rRNA". It matches the Rfam family "Bacterial small subunit ribosomal RNA", at positions 993 to 1428 of the family's 1533-position model. Lineage: Bacteria; Pseudomonadati; Pseudomonadota; Alphaproteobacteria; Rickettsiales; Anaplasmataceae. The record is from RNAcentral.
CAUACCUAUUCGAAGGGAUAGGGUCGGUUCGGCCGGGUUUCACACAGGUGUUGCAUGGCUGUCGUCAGCUCGUGUCGUGAGAUGUUGGGUUAAGUCCCGCAACGAACGCAACCCUCAUCCUUAGUUACCAUCAGGUAACGCUGGGGACUUUGAGGAAACUGCCAGUGAUAAACUGGAGGAAGGUGGGGAUGAUGUCAAGUCAUCAUGGCCCUUAUGGAGUGGGCUACACACGUGCUACAAUGGUGAUUACAAUGGGCUGCAAGGUCGCAAGGCUGAGCUAAUCCUAAAAAAUCAUCUCAGUUCGGAUUGUUCUCUGCAACCCGAGAGCAUGAAGUUGGAAUUGCUAGUAAUCGUGGAUCAGCAUGCCACGGUGAAUACGUUCUCGGGUCUUGUACACACUGCCCGUCACGCCAUGGGAAUUGGUUUCACUCGAAGCU